UCUCCUUUCCGUAAAUUAACUCCAUCCCCUUUUUCCUAGCAUGAAACUUCAGAUAUACUUGAAGAUAAUAAGUUCUGAUAAACUUCUGAUAUAUACUGAUGCAUGAAAUAUUAGAUUCCUAGCCAGCUUAAUUAUUUUUCUUUGAAAAGCUUUUGUUUCUGGUGGCAGGCUACAAAGGGGGUGAAGAAGGGUUGUCAAUUAAGCUGACUACGGAUGAGGACGCUUUUGUUGACAGAAGAUAGAGAGCACAACUGAACAUACCCAGAAAAGGCCUGUGUAUGAGCAGCCUUGUGCUCUCUUUUCUUCUGUCAAUGGAAUUUUCUGUCAGAGUUCAGCUCAUUCGCUUUCAUCAGCAUACCAAGUUCAGUUCAACCCAAGGAAUUCUCCUUCUGAUGAGAUCAAUUAGUGUACCAGAGAUUAAAUUGAGGGACAUUAGAAUCUGCUCGAUUCUGAGUGCAAUCUUAAAAAACAUCCAAUUCGGAUUCCACAUCAAAUCAUGCGCGUUCUAAUACACAGCUUAGCAGCCAGGCGAUUUCUCCAGGAUCUCGGGCACUGGACAGCGUAUUUGUGCUUGGGAAGAUCAAUGCCAACGCCUGGAAUUAGAGGGGGAAUAAUGCCAAUGCCAGGGAUUAGAGGGGAACGAGGAACCAAAUCUCAGGCAGCCGCACUGCUAUGCAACCAUGAGCAAGGGCAAUAUUGUUUGCACCAGACCUCUUCAUGGCUUUUCCUUCCACUGAUUCUUAACAUUUACCCCUAAUCACUCUGAAAAGUUGUUGUGAUUCGGCCAAAAUUGCAAAAACCAGAAUCUAAAGGCUUGGAACCCCAAGAAUCUAUGGAAAUUCCAUAAAUCACUGUGCCUUAUUUUUUGUGGCUGCUGACUACUGUGAUUGAAUUCAACCAUGAUUGAAAUCAUUUACAUUCUGAUAACAUAUAAUUUUUAGUCAUUUAUAAAGACAGAAUCAGGAAUUCAUCA
Non-coding RNA from Theobroma cacao (cacao), 973 nucleotides. The record is from RefSeq and is a predicted model, not a curated record. NCBI's taxonomy places the organism in Eukaryota, Viridiplantae, Streptophyta, Magnoliopsida, Malvales, Malvaceae.